Molecule: ribosomal RNA, 467 nt
Filed under: uncultured bacterium
Lineage: Bacteria
Description: partial 16S ribosomal RNA
Rfam family: Bacterial small subunit ribosomal RNA
Source: RNAcentral
GACGAACGCUGGCGGCGUGCUUAACACAUGCAAGUCGAACGGAAAGGCCCUGCUUUUGUGGGGUGCUCGAGUGGCGAACGGGUGAGUAACACGUGAGUAACCUGCCCUUGACUUUGGGAUAACUUCAGGAAACUGGGGCUAAUACCGGAUAGGAGCUCCUGCUGCAUGGUGGGGUUUGGAAAGUUUCGGCGGUUGGGGAUGGACUCGCGGCUUUUCAGCUUGUUGGUGGGGUAGUGGCUUACCAAGGCUUUGACGGGUAGCCUGCCUGGGCGGGUAACAGGCAAAAUUGGGGAGGAGAAACGGACCAGACGCGUAAGGGAGGAAGGAGGGGGGAAAAUGGAAAAAGGGGAGGAAGCCUGAGGGAGAAACGCCGGGGGGGGGAAGACGGCGUUGGGGUUGAAAACCGGUUUGGCCGGGAACAAAGGGGGAGGGACGGAAAUGGGUAAAAAAGAACGGGCUAACAAGGU